RNAcentral lists this unclassified non-coding RNA (210 nucleotides) under Hevea brasiliensis (rubber tree). Lineage: Eukaryota; Viridiplantae; Streptophyta; Magnoliopsida; Malpighiales; Euphorbiaceae. The record is from RNAcentral.
CCCAGCACCAGCUUCCAACUCCCACCUUCCUCUCAUACUUCUUCGUUCGUUGAAGCCAUGUUAGAUCAAGGAAACGAGAAUUUCUUGGAUUUUCCUAACCUAGUAGAGGAGCCAUUCUCCUACUAAGUUAAUUACUUUCAAGUCAAAAAGAAUUAAAGCCGAACUUGGAAUAAGCUAUAGGUUUUCCAUGACAAGGAUGUAUUUCUUGUA